RNAcentral lists this ribosomal RNA (389 nucleotides) under uncultured Methanosaeta sp. RNAcentral's name for it is "bacterial SSU rRNA". It matches the Rfam family "Archaeal small subunit ribosomal RNA", at positions 949 to 1338 of the family's 1478-position model. The record is from RNAcentral. Lineage: Archaea; Methanobacteriati; Methanobacteriota; Methanomicrobia; Methanotrichales; Methanotrichaceae.
GAAGGCCAGGCUGAAGACUUUGCCGGAUUAGCUGAGAGGUGGUGCAUGGCCGUCGUCAGUUCGUACUGUGAAGCAUCCUGUUAAGUCAGGCAACGAGCGAGACCCACGCCCACAGUUGCCAGCGUACUCUCCGGAGUGACGGGUACACUGUGGGACCGCCGCUGCUAAAGCGGAGGAAGGAAUGGGCAACGGUAGGUCAGUAUGCCCCGAAUAUCCCGGGCUACACGCGAGCUACAAUGGUUGGUACAAUGGGUAUCUACCCCGAAAGGGGACGGGAAUCUCCUAAAACCAAUCUUAGUUCGGAUUGAGGGCUGCAACUCGCCCUCAUGAAGCUGGAAUCCGUAGUAAUCGCGUUUCAACAGAACGCGGUGAAUACGUCCCUGCUCCUU